UUUUAAAAAUAUUGACCUCUGAUAGUUACUUCAUUCGUGUCUUAUUCUUCCAAUCAUUCAACAGUAAAAAGGAGAAACUGUUAAAGACAAUAUGAUCAUCAUACUAUAAUUUCAGAAACAUUGUUUGUUCCGCUAUCCUCAAAGGCGCAUGGCCAACAAAUUCCACCAAAAAUGCUGUGUGCAUGUAGGUUGACCCUAGAACUGCCCUUAAGGGGAUUUGUAAUGGUGAAGGUCAAAGUCACUUGGGUCAACAGCCAAUAUAUUUGCUUUAUCUAUCUGGUUCUUCUUAUACUCCUUCCAGCUGCUUUGACUGAUUUUAAUUCUUUUUUUUUUGUAUAGUGCCAAAACACAACAACACUGCCUCAAGGCGCUUCACACAGGUAAGGUCUCAACUCACUAACCCCUCUGAGGAAGCACACAGGCAA
Long non-coding RNA from Thalassophryne amazonica, 425 nucleotides. RefSeq lists it as uncharacterized. The record is from RefSeq and is a predicted model, not a curated record. The transcript is spliced from 2 exons. Lineage: Eukaryota; Metazoa; Chordata; Actinopteri; Batrachoidiformes; Batrachoididae.